Long non-coding RNA from Vicia villosa (hairy vetch), 364 nucleotides. RefSeq lists it as uncharacterized. The record is from RefSeq and is a predicted model, not a curated record. The transcript has 3 exons. NCBI's taxonomy places the organism in Eukaryota, Viridiplantae, Streptophyta, Magnoliopsida, Fabales, Fabaceae.
AUAACAAGUUUAUUAGUCCAAAUGGAUUAAUAAAUAAGUUCUCCUUCAUAUCCCCACAUGUAUCACGGGAGGAUAAUAUAGGAAAUGUUGUAGCAAAAAUACUCUUGAAAGAUGAGGAGUACUUCAAGGAUAAGAUGAUUCUUGCACCUUGCAAUCUAGGGAAACAUUGGGUGUUACUUGUCAUCAAUCUCGAUGCUGAGGUGAUAUAUUACAUGGACCCGUUGAAUGGUGAGCCAACAAAACAUCAAAAUUUAAAAACCAAGUUUGAGAAUGCGUUGCAAAUUUAUCGUGCUAAUAGUAAUUCUAAAGUGCCUAAAGUCUCCAAGUCAAAGAAAAUUUCAUGGUCAAAAAUUCGGGUAUGUCC